This 301-nucleotide ribosomal RNA is filed under the name uncultured bacterium. RNAcentral's name for it is "partial 16S ribosomal RNA". It matches the Rfam family "Bacterial small subunit ribosomal RNA", at positions 509 to 808 of the family's 1533-position model. The record is from RNAcentral.
CAGCCGCCGCGGUAAUACGUAGGUGGCAAGCGUUGUCCGGAAUUAUUGGGCGUAAAGGGCUCGCAGGCGGUCUCUUAAGUCUGAUGUGAAAGCCCCCGGCUCAACCGGGGAGGGUCAUUGGAAACUGGGAAACUUGAGUGCAGAAGAGGAGAGUGGAAUUCCACGUGUAGCGGUGAAAUGCGUAGAGACGUGGAGGAACACCAGUGGCGAAGGCGACUCUCUGGUCUGUAACUGACGCUGAGGAGCGAAAGCGUGGGGAGCGAACAGGAUUAGAUACCCAGUAGUCCCUGUCUCUUAUACA